RNAcentral lists this transfer RNA (69 nucleotides) under Bufo stejnegeri (Korean water toad). RNAcentral describes it as "tRNA-His". The record is from RNAcentral. Lineage: Eukaryota; Metazoa; Chordata; Amphibia; Anura; Bufonidae.
GUGAACAUAGUUUAUUAAAAAUUCUAGCUUGUGAUUCUAGAGAAGAGAGCUAAUGACUCUCUGUUCACC